GCUGCUAUGGCUCAGUUGGCAGAGCGCGUCCUUGGUAAGGACGAGGUCGGCAGUUCGAAUCUGCCUAGCAGCUCCA
RNAcentral lists this transfer RNA (76 nucleotides) under Angelakisella sp. RNAcentral's name for it is "tRNA-Thr". It matches the Rfam family "tRNA". Rfam says of the family: Transfer RNA (tRNA) molecules are approximately 80 nucleotides in length. Their secondary structure includes four short double-helical elements and three loops (D, anti-codon, and T loops). The record is from RNAcentral. Lineage: Bacteria; Bacillati; Bacillota; Clostridia; Eubacteriales; Oscillospiraceae.